This 459-nucleotide ribosomal RNA is filed under the name uncultured bacterium. RNAcentral's name for it is "partial 16S ribosomal RNA". It matches the Rfam family "Bacterial small subunit ribosomal RNA", at positions 338 to 795 of the family's 1533-position model. The record is from RNAcentral.
CCUACGGGAGGCAGCAGUGAGGAAUAUUGGUCAAUGGUCGGGAGACUGAACCAGCCAAGCCGCGUGAGGGAUGAAGGUACAGAGUAUCGUAAACCUCUUUUGUCAGGGAACAAAGGCGGGGACGUGUCCCCGGAUGAGUGUACCUGAAGAAAAAGCAUCGGCUAACUCCGUGCCAGCAGCCGCGGUAAUACGGAGGAUGCGAGCGUUAUCCGGAUUUAUUGGGGUUAAAGGGUGCGGAGGCGGUCUGUUUAGGUAGCGGUAAAAGCCUGGGGCUCAACCCCGGCCCGCCGUUGAAACUGGGAGUCUCGAGUUGGAGAGAAGAAUGCGGAAUGCGCGGUGUAGCGGUGAAAUGCAUAGAUAUCGCGCAGAACUCCGAUUGCGAAGGCAGCAUGCCGGCGCCACACUGACGCUGAGGCACGAAAGCGUGGGUAUCGAACAGGAUUAGAUACCCCAGUAGUC